AGUGAACGCUGGCGGUAGGCCUAACACAUGCAGGUCGAACGGCAGCACAGUAAGAGCUUGCUCUUACGGGUGGCGAGUGGCGGACGGGUGAGGAAUACAUCGGAAUCUACUUUUUCGUGGGGGAUAACGUAGGGAAACUUACGCUAAUACCGCAUACGACCUACGGGUGAAAGCAGGGGAUCUUCGGACCUUGCGCGAUUGAAUGAGCCGAUGUCGGAUUAGCUAGUUGGCGGGGUAAAGGCCCACCAAGGCGACGAUCCGUAGCUGGUCUGAGAGGAUGAUCAGCCACACUGGAACUGAGACACGGUCCAGACUCCUACGGGAGGCAGCAGUGGGGAAUAUUGGACAAUGGGCGCAAGCCUGAUCCAGCCAUACCGCGUGGGUGAAGAAGGCCUUCGGGUUGUAAAGCCCUUUUGUUGGGAAAGAAACGCAGCAGGUUAAUACCCCGCUGUUCUGACGGUACCCAAAGAAUAAGCACCGGCUAACUUCGUG
Molecule: ribosomal RNA, 492 nt
Filed under: uncultured bacterium
Lineage: Bacteria
Description: partial 16S ribosomal RNA
Rfam family: Bacterial small subunit ribosomal RNA
Source: RNAcentral